This is a long non-coding RNA of Oryza sativa Japonica Group (Japanese rice), 666 nucleotides long. RefSeq lists it as uncharacterized. The record is from RefSeq and is a predicted model, not a curated record. NCBI's taxonomy places the organism in Eukaryota, Viridiplantae, Streptophyta, Magnoliopsida, Poales, Poaceae.
UUUAGCGAAGUCGACGAUUGGAGUCCUAUAACUGCGAAGCGCAUUGUUUGGAGUCCUAUAAUUGCAAUUUUCUGCUUUUCGCCAUGGGGAGCAUCUCCGGCCACACAUUAAACCUCCGAUUCGUGCAAGGUUCCGGAUUUACUCGAAGCCUCCGUCCGAUACGCGAUUGGGGAUCGAUGGACCGAGAGGGGAUGCAGCAACCAGGGUCCAGGGUCCAGGAGAAUCGAUCCGAGGACACACUUGGUGCCUUGGAGGUGCCUCUGGCUCUGUCCUAUGCUGUUCGGCCACGUCCUGCUAGCAAGAUGUGUACAUAAUUAAUAUUCUGGCCAAAGCUGGCCACAGCAGUCGUGUCUUCAAGAACGAACCCCGAAGCUGGCCGUUACUAAUCAACUCAAUCAUCGAAGAAGCACGGAUUUGGGUCGCUGCAGGGAUCGAGCUGCCUCCAGCUGGUAGUUUAAGCGCGGUAGCUCUGCUAGGUCACAAAGGUGGUUGGGAGGAAUCCGUGUAAUUUUUCUUUGGGCGGUAUGUUAGUAUGGCCGGAUGUUAGAACUAUCUCCUCCUUAAUACAAAGAUGGUUUAAUCAACAUAAAGUUGAUCUUACUGAAUUAGCAUUGAAAUUUGUUGUGAAAUAGACGAUUUGUUGAAAAGUUUUACUGCACUGUGAUC